RNAcentral lists this long non-coding RNA (14664 nucleotides) under Nicotiana tabacum (common tobacco). RNAcentral's name for it is "long non-coding RNA (NTAB_LNC018502)". Lineage: Eukaryota; Viridiplantae; Streptophyta; Magnoliopsida; Solanales; Solanaceae. The record is from RNAcentral.
UUACCUCCACCAAUAUCUAUGAAGGGUGUCCGGAGUUUCUUCGGACACGCGAGUUUCUAUAGACGCUUUAUUAAAGAUUUUUCAAAAAUUGCUACUCUAUUGUGCAGGUUGCUUGAAAAGGAUGUGACUUUCAAAUUUGAUGAAGCCUGCCUGAAGGAAUUCGAGGAGCUCAAAGAGAAGUUGGUGGGUGCCCCCAUUAUUGUGGCACCGGAUUUGUCCUUACCAUUUGAACUAAUGUGCGAUGCAAGUGACCAUGCUAUGGAGGCAGUGCUAGGCUAGAGGAAAGACAAGAUGCUUUACUCCAUAUACAAUGUGAGUAAGACUCUUGAUGAUGCACAACUAAAUUACACCACCACUGAAAAGGAGUUUUUGGCAGUUGUGUGGGCCUUUGAGAAAUUUCGGGCUUGCUUGGUGGGAACAAAAGUUAUAGUUUAUACCGAUCAUGCAGCGAUCAGGUAUCUAUUUACAAAAAAAGAAUCCAAUGCUAGAUUAAUGCGCUGGGUUUUAUAGUUGCAGGAAUUUGUUGUAGAAAUAUGAGAUCGGAAGGGCACAAAAAACCAAGUGCCUGACCAUCUGUCAAGGCUAGAAAAUCAUGAGCACGCGGAAGAAUGCGGACAAAUUAAGGAGACAUUUCCUGAUGAGCAACCUUUUGCCAUCACCCAUGACCCCGCCCUAUAGUACGCGAACAAUGUGAAUUAUAUUAUGAGUGGGGUACUUCCUCCUAAAAUUCAAUCUGAGGCUAGGAAGAGGUUUCUUCAUGAUGUGAACCUCUACUACUGGGAUGAGUCAUUCUUGUACAGACAAUGUGCUAAUCAGUUGAUGAGGAGAUGCAUUCCUAAAAAGGAGGUGGAAUUAGUGUUGUAUGAUUGCCACGCCUUGCCUUAUGGGGGGCAUCAUGGAGGCGAUAGGACAUAUGCAAAGGUGUUACAGUCUGGGUUCUAUUGUCCAACAUUGUUCAAGGAUGCACAUGCAUUUGUUAAGAAGUGUGACCAGUGUCAGAGAACAGGAACAAUCACGAAGAGGCAUGAUAUGCCUUUGAAUAAUAUCCUGGAGGUAGAGAUUUUUUAUGUGUGGGGGAUAGACUUCAUGGUAUCAUUCCCAUUAUCUAGAAGAAACAAAUACAUCUUGCAAGUUGUUGAUUACGUGUCAAAAUGGGUAGAGGCAGUCGCAUUGCCAACCAAUGAUGCCAUAGUGGUAGCCACUUUUGUGAAGAAAAACAUAUUCUCGAGAUUUGGGACUCCACGUGACUUGAUUAGUGUUCUACAAUCGGUUGUUGAAUAACCUUCUAGCAAAAUAUGGAGUCCGCCAUAGAGUUUCCACGGCAUAUCAUCCGCAAACAAGUGGACAAGUUGAAGUGUCAAACAGAGAAAUAAAGCAGAUAUUAGAGAAGACAGUGAGUGUGAACAGGAAAGAUUGGGUUGCAAAGCUAGAUGAUGCCUUGUGGACACAUAGAACUGCAUACAAAACAGCAAUUGGGGCAUCCCCGUAUAAGCUUGUUUAUGGGAAGGCAUGUAACUUACCGGUUGAACUUGAACAUAAGCCGUAUUGGGCAGUUAAGAAGUUGAAUAUGGACUUUAAAGGCACAGGCGAGAAAAGUCACUUGCAGUUGAAUUAGUUAGAUGAGUUAAGGCUGCACUCCUAUGAAAAUGCUAAGCUUUACAAACAGAAAACAAAAAGAUGGCAUGAUAAGCGUAUCAAGCCGCGACAUUUUGAACCGGGCCAAAAGGUACUAUUGUUCAAUUCUAGGCUUAAGCUAUUUCCUGGAAAGUUAAAAUCGUGGUGCUCAGGUCUAUUUACGAUGGUGAGAGUCACUCCUUAUGGUGCUAUUGAGCUGAGUGCUUUAAACAGUGAAAGAAUUUUUUUGGUGAAUGGGAAAAGAGUCAAGCACUAUUAGGGAUGUGUCAUUGAUAGUUAGAAGUUUAAAGUAAUACUCGUUGAUGAGUAAGCGAGGCCAUGUGUCAUGCCGUGACGAUAAUCAGAAGCUUGUUGGGAGGCAACCCAAUGUUUAUUGCUUUCAUAGUUUAGUUUUUUUUCUUUUUAGUUAGAGUAGAUUAGAGUUUUUCUUGUUUUCUUUGUAGUCAAAGAAAUCAUAGGUAGAAUGAUGUGGGAUGUGUAAAAUGGAUAUAUUAAGUGCUCGGAGGAAUCAGGGUUUUAUUCAAUAUANNNNNNNNNNNNNNNNNNNNNNNNNNNNNNNNNNNNNNNNNNNNNNNNNNNNNNNNNNNNNNNNNNNNNNNNNNNNNNNNNNNNNNNNNNNNNNNNNNNNNNNNNNNNNNNNNNNNNNNNNNNNNNNNNNNNNNNNNNNNNNNNNNNNNNNNAAUUCUAACCCCUAAAACCUACCCUCCUCUCUCUCACAUGCUACUCUCUCUCUCUCCCCCCCGUUAUUUCUCACUCUGUCUCUCUCUCCAUGUUACUCCCUCUCUUCCCAAGUCUUCUUUCUCUCACAAAAACAACAAGUAUGUUCUCCCCUUCUGCCUCUUCUGUUAUGUUGUAUUUUGAAAAAGUUUCUUCCACAUCCCCCAUCCCAAAUGACCACAACCCCAACUCCCCCAUAUUUGUUUCUUAGAACUUAUUUUCUAUGGUGGGUGGCCAUUAUGUGCAACGAAAUGGGUUGCUAAAAUUGGUUGUGAAGUUGUAUGCAUAGUAGUAAACUACAAUUUCCUCUACUUCGUUUAAAAUUUGGGAGGGCCGCCAUGUUACACCAUUGUUGAAUUGAGUUGCACAUACUUGAUGCCCACCAUGUGGUUGAUAAAAUGCUUGAAAGAGUAAAUUAUGCACCAGUGAAAUUUGAGUAGCCAAGUGUAGUUGUAUGUGAUGUGGGGUUAAGUGUGGGAUGUUUGGGGGUUAUUUUACAUAACCCGAAGCUUGUCAUUAAUGUUCACAUACCAUAACCACACUAUCCACACCAUGUAUCUUGUAUUAUGUAUGUCGUAUCAUUUUUUUAGAAUUAGCUAGUGUAGUGUGUUAGUUGUAGAGAUGGAGGACCAUGUGUUCCCGCUUGCACUAAGGCUAGGUCACUUCGCCAUGUUUGACUUCUUGAUUUGUGUGGAAUAGGAAGUGAAUUAUAAUUGUGUGGCAUGGGGAAGUCUUGAGUACCCAUCGCCUUGUGGUGCAACAUUUCUGCACUUUUGAACCACUAUUGUGAGUAUAUUACAUAGAGCCUUCAGUUUUAAGUGUGGGGUCAUCUUUGACUCUCACGAUAACCUUAGGCAGAUUUCUUGAUUCAUUCUCACAUUCAUGUUUAUUGUGUUGUAGGUUGUUAUGCCUCGUGAUGGUGCUACUAUAGGAAAAGAAGUGGGGAAGUCCUCUACUACUUCUCACCCUCCAAAAAAGCGCAAGCAAGGUGAAGGGUCAUCUCGCCAAGCAAAAGGCAAGCAGGUUGCUGGCGGGUCAAGGAGGGCACCAUAGGGGCCAAGGCCCCAAUUGGAUCUGGUUCGGGAGGACGCCAUCCAGUGGUAUCACAGCUUUGAGCCAUAUGGGCGGUACGUCUCUGAAAUGGGGAUUAACAUGACCACUCUGGAGAAGAACUUCCCCGAUGUGAUAGCACGAUUGAGAGAUAUGAAGAUGGACAAGUUCCUUGAGUGCCUGGGACAUGCAAAUUUGAGCAUGGUAAGGGAGCUCUAUGCAAAUUGGAAUGAGCAUCUGUUCAUGUCGUGGUUCAAAGGAAAGGAAGUUCCAAUGGAUAGGGAUUCAUUAUGCAAAUUCUUAGGAGUUGAUUUCCCUAAAUCCAAAGAGGCUGCAAACGUUUGUCAAUUUUCCAAGCUACCAGGCCAUUUGUCACACUCUAUGUGGCGUCGAUUCUAAUGCAAAAUGGACGAGGACUAAGGGUGAUGCACAUCUUGAGAUGAUCCGAUUUGACUUCAACAAAACUGUCAAGGUGUGGCAGAACUUUGUGCAUGCCAAACUGAUGCUGGUGGAGCACAAUAGUGAGUGCACUCGAGCCCUUUAAUUUUUUUUAUCACUGGGCGACCCAUCAAUGUGGGUGAGAUCAUGUUAGGAGAGAUGGACCGCACACGGUUUGGGCUAAAAAUAAAAAGAUUCUUGUUUGGCAACUUGUUGACGUAGUACAUGCUCUCUCAUGAGGUACUUGAGUACCCCGGUUAUGAUGAGGUGGUUGAUGCACCAAAGGGAUUGAUGGACAUUACUUCCUUGUUGGAGUCUACGUCCAAGUUGAGCCAGGCUGCGCGGAAUGAGGGGGAUGAAAACUUCAACAGAUUUCUAUAUAGCUCCCUGAAUGUGAUAAUGAGUAAGUUGGGUGUGACGGAUGAGGAACGCAUGCAUAUAUGGAAUGAUCUGUCCAGUUCUUUAAAAGAAACGUUGGAAAUUGCGCCUGGCAGUCCCAUUCACCCGUUGGAGGAUGAAAACAUCCACAAGGGCUUAGAUGAUGAGGAUGAAAUUGGUGCUGAUGUCUUGGGGCCAAUGGCUUUGGUGCCCCUGGGAGCGGAUGAUGAUGAGCUUGGAGCUUCAGUUGGUGGGCAUUCUGAGGAUGAAGGAUCCGAGUAUGACCCAUGAGAGUUCUUAUUUCCACCUUACUUUGUUUUGAAUUCUUACAUGUAUCGGGGACUAUGAAUAUUAUAAGUGUGGGGUGGGGGAACUACUUUCGGUAAUAUAAUUGUAUAAAACUAUUUUUUUAUUAGUUUUUCUUUUAGAACUCAUAGUAGACAUAGUCUAGCUUCUUAAAAAAGUGAAAAUAGAGAAAAUCAGAAAAAGCUCAGACUUUUCCCUAUAAUAGAUCUCUUGGACAGAAUUUUUGAGGGAUUAAAGUCCGAUUAAAAACACCAAAAGAUUUUGUUUUUUAGGAUAGUUAGGUAUAUCCCUUGGUUUUUCUUUGGGCGCCGAUUCUUUUCCAAGUAUGUAGCUUGAACCGGGUACUUUGUUUUUAUUCUUUUUAGGAGUAUGAUAGGAAGGAAACUAAGUUGCUCUGAGGUACCUAUUGACAUGCUUGGUGCUGGCACACUAGGCUAUGGCAUGCGCUUUGUCUUCAUGUUAUAUUUGACUUGAAUUAUGAUGCCUAAGUAAUAUAAAUAGCCUACUCUGUGAUGCAUUUUCUCUGUUGUUUGACUUGUAUGUCACCUAGUGCAUUAUUGCUUAAAUUUCUCAACUGUGUGCUUGCUUGACUUGAGAGUUGAACAGAAGCAUCUUGAUUGAGUCAUGUGCAAUGUGUAUGGGAGAAUUUGUGUUAUUCUGUGCUAUCAUGUGUAGUCUAGAACAUGCCAUGUGUGUUAAUCGAAGCGAAAUCAUUAAGUUGUGCUAGUCUAGGAGAUGACGUAGGCGUUUCUUGCUUGAUCAUAGAUGUGCUUUUCACUUAUAAAUAAAAUAUUUCCCGUUGCUAGCCCCUUUGAGCCUAUAGAUAUUUUCUUUGGAACCCACAUUACAAGUUGUAUCCCUAUUUUGUCCUUAAUUUGAGCUUGUUGAACCUUUACCUCCGAAGGCACUUAGGCGCUAAAAGAAAUAAGGUGAGAGAUUAGGAAGUAGCUUUUGAGUGAGACCAUGGAAGGGCCCUUAAGGUUUGCUAAAGUUGUGAAAAAUAUCACUAGUCAAUGUACCUUAAUGUAUGGACUGUGUGUAGAAAAAAAAGGAAAGGAAAAAAAGAGAAAAGGGAAUUGCAAAAGACAAAAUAGAAAAAUAAUGUUGAUAGUCAAAAAGAUGAAAAAUACACACCUCCUAAUCAUACUAAUUCGUGCUAGUGGGGAUGUAGAAGUGCUUAAUUGAAGAAAAGGGUAUGUUGUGUAUGGUUUGUGGCGAGUGAAUUGGUUGAGAAGAAAACGUGCUCAAUUUUUUAGUGUAGUUUAUUAAAGUGCUUAGGAUGGUUAGUCACUAUUCCUAAAUGUUUCUUACCCGUCCCUUAGCCUACAUUACAACCCAUAAAGUUCUAAUUGGUCCUAGACUUGGCUAGCUUAGAUUAGUAGAGAUGUACACUAUGGGCAAGCUUAUGGUACGACCACGGGAUGCACAUGAAAUUCUUUGUGAGAGUGAGCGACUUUUUUUCAAUUAUAUGAUGUCCUUAUUUUAUGUUCAAAGUCAUAUUUGAAUGUGUGUACUAUUUCUAUAUUCACUCUCUUGUUUGUUGGUGAGGACACAUGAUCUCAUGACGGAUUGGUAAUGUUGUGAACUUCUCUUGUUGGGUGAGUGAGCGAGUUGAGGGUGCAUAGUGGUAACGAGUCGACUCUUGAAGUAGGGUGGUUGUGGAUAGGUUGUUUGAAUUGACUGAUUGAAUGUUUAUACUUGGAAAUGUUUAAAACGGGAAGAAUGUGAAUUUCGUAUGUUCAUGCUUGAUUGCCGGUAUCGAUCAUAGUCAAGGGUAGAAUGUAUGAUUAAACAUUGAAUUGCUUCCCCUUGGUUGAUGUAUACAUGAUGGGCACAGUUGAUAGUCCCAUUUCUUGAGGGCGAGCAAGAGUCUAAAUGUGAGGUGUUGAUAUUCGGCUUAAAGUAUGUAUAUUUAUAUGCAUAUUGUCUCGCAUUUUACUCAUGCUUCAUAGAUUUCGGAUAUGUAAUGCAAUGAUUUGUGCUAAUUCGUGGUAUGUUUAUGUGUAGGAAUCAUCCGGAGGCAAUGCGGGACGAAGGUGCAUGAUUUAAAGCAAAAAAGGGACAAAAUUGGAAAAAUGCCACAAAGUAGCGCCCAGGCUAGCGUGGGGCACUACCUAUGGCGCAUAAGUCAAACCUUAAAAUUUCCCAGCACCAAGGCUAGCGCCCCCAUGCUACCAUGGGUGCUGGUGAUGGGAAUUUCUCCUACCUCGACCUGGAUAAGGUUAUUUCGAUCCAAGACACCCCCAACUCGUAUAAAAGCGAGCCUAAACCUAUUUUGGCGAGAGAAAGGCCACUUUAAGAGGAAAAUACACACACGGGACACUCGGGAGCAAGGAUUCUCAGUUUUUCUUCAUCUUUAUUAGUAUUUUCAACUAUUCAACACGUGUGGAAUUGUUUUGAUUUUUAUCAUGAAUGUCUACAACCCAUCGUUAUGGGGUUGUGAUUUAGCCAUGAAUAUUGUUGUUUGAAGUUGACUUAACUUUGAUUACAAUUUGCUAAUAUAUGAUUGUUUCUUCAAUUUUAUGAUUAAUUGCUUAAUUGUCUGGCAAACAGUUAGGUUCUAUCUACUAUCUAUGCUAUGCUUGGGAAAGCUAUGUCUAGAUUAUAGAAGAGUUGAAGAAGGCAUGAUCCUAACUCUGAGUGGAGGGCGGAAUUGUGGUUAGGAUAGGAAUAUACCUAGUCACCAUGCUCAGUUGAAUAUCAUAAUCUUAAUAGAUUGAUUCCAUAGGAAUAUAGGCGUUAAUCUAUUCUGAAUAGGUGAAUAGUAAUUCCGUAGAAUACUACGAGAGCAAUUAUUCGAUUAAUUAGAAACCAUGAGCGAAUUGUAUGAAAGGGAGAGUGUUUCUCCCAAACGCACACGCAAGUAUACGUGGUUGUACAAGUAAUAAAAUGAUAAGUCGAGUGUCGAACCCACAGAGACUUGUAUCAACUACCCACUAAAAUAACCAAGAUUGUUAUUCAGUCAAUCCAAAUUCGAGUUCAAGAAUGUGGUUAUACUAAACUAUACUUCUAAGGAGUAACUAAAUUAUCAAGCAGUAAAAUGGUUGUUGUGUAUUCAGUAGAGAAAAAUAUUCCAGGGUUGUGAUCGAUUCACCAAUCCUAUUGUGUUCUAGUUAACUCUCCCUUUCAUACAAUUCACUCAUGGUUGCUAAUUAAUCGAUAAUUGCUCUCAUAGCCUUCUCCCGAAGUACUACUCGCCUAUUCAAAAUAGAUUAACGCCUAUAUUCCUAUGAAAUUAAUCUAUCAAGAACGCAUUAAGAUUACGAUAUUUAAUUAAGCACGGUGACUAGGUAUAUUCCUAUCCUAACCACAAAUCCCCCCCCCCAACGAGUUAAGAUCAUGCUCUCUUCAAUUCUUCUGUAAUCUAAACAUGGAUUUCCUAAGCAUAGCAUAGAUAGUAAAUAGAACCUAACUGAUGGCCAGACAAUUAAGCAAUUAAUCACAGAAUUGAAGAAAUAACCAUAUAUUAGUGAAUUAUAAUCAAGGUUAAGUCAACGUUAAACAACAAUAUUCAUGGCUAAAUCACAACCCCAGAACUAUGGGUUUUAUCCACUCAUGAUAAUAGCAAACAAUUUCAAAAGUAUUGGAUAAUUGAGAAUACUAAGAAAAUAUCAAUAAAAUUGAGAUCUCUUCGCUCCCGGAUGUUUCUCGUGUGUAUUCUCCCUUCAAAGUGUCGUCCCCUCUCUAAAACUAAGCUUAGUCUAGCUUUUAUACGCGUUGGGUAGGUCUAGGGCCGAAAUAACCUUGUCCCGGGCAAAGUUGGACAGAAUUCACGCCAUCAGCGCCCAGCCCAGCACUGUCCUUGGCACUGGUAAUUGAAGCUUACUGUCUCUGGCGCCACAGGUAGCGCCAGGCGCUGGCUGUGGCGCCGGAAAUUCCCUUUGUUUUUGUUUUUUCGUCCGUUUUGGCUUUAAUCUCGCACCUUUCGCCCCCAAUUGCUCCCGGAUCGUUCCUACACAUAAAAAUACCUCAAAUUAAUAUAAAUCAACACAUUUUACAUCCUAAAUCCAUGAAACAAAAGUAAAACAUGAGGCGAUAUACAUAUAAAUAUAUAUAUAUACUUUAAGACAAACAUCAGCACUCCACACUUAGACUCUUGCUCGUCCUCGAGCAAUGGCACUAUCAAAUAACCCCCCAACUACGUACAAGUUUCAACUAUACAGGAGUAAUUCAACUUCUAACCAUACAUUCUACCCUUGACUAUAAUCAAUACCGGCACACAAGCAUGAACAUACAAAAUUUCACAUUCUUCCCGUUUAAGCAUGCCCAAGUAUAACAUUUCAAUUAAAUCAAUUCCAACAACCUAUUUGUCACCACCCAACCUCAAAAGCCGACUUCUAACCACUAAGCACCCUUAAUUCACGUACUCGCCCAACAAGAAAGUUUACAACAUUACCAAUCAUUCAUGAGAUCAUGUGCACUCACCAACAAACAAAAGAGUGAAUAUAGACUAGUCCACACAUUCAAAUAUGCUUUUGAAUAUAGAUUAAGGACCUCACACAAUUGAACAAAAAUUCGCUCACUCUCACAAAGAAUUCGUAUGCAUCCCGUGGUCGUACCAUAAGCUUCCCGUAGUGUAUAUCGCUACUAAUUUAAGCUAGCCAAAUCUAGGAUCAAUUAGGACUUUAAGGUUGUAAUGUAAGCUAAAGGACGGGUAUGAUACAUUUAGAAAUAGUGACUAACCCUCCUAAGCACUUUAAUACACUACACUCACAAUUCAAACACAUAUUCUCCUCAAUCAAAUCACUUGCUACAAACUAUAUACAACAUAGCCCUUACUUUCAUUAAGCACUUCUAUACUCCCACUAGCACAAAUUAAUAAGAAUUGGAUGUGUGUAUUUUUCUUCAUACUUUAACUAUCAUUUGUUUUCUUUUCUUGCAAUUUUUCUUUUUUCUUUCUCUCUUUUUUUUCUCUUUUUUUUUUCUCUACAUACACUCCAUACAUUAAAGUUCAUCGGCCAGUGACUUUUGAUCUCAAUUUUUGUGUACCAAAGGGCCCUUCCAUGGUUCCACUCAAAAGCUCCUCUCUAAUCUCUAACCUUACUUCUGUUAGCGACUAAGUGCCUUAGGAGGUAGAGGUUCAACAAUCUCAAUUUAAGAACAAAAUAGGGGUACGGCUUGUAAUGUGGUGCCAAAUAAAAGGUCUAUAGGCUCAAAGGGGCUCGCAAUGGAAAAUUUUAUUUUUAUAUGACAAGCACAUCUUUGAUCAAGCAAGAAAACACCUACGUCAUCUCCUAGAUUAGCACAACUUAUAAUUUCGCUUUGAUUAAUACACGGGGCAAGUUCUAGACUACACAGGAUAGCACAGAAGAUCACAAAUCCUCACACACACAUUGCACAUGACUCAAUCGCAGCGGUUUUGUUCAACUCUCAAGUCAAGCAAGCACACAUAAUUGAGAAAAAUUAAGCAAUAUUGCACUAUGUGGCAUACAAGUCAAACAACUGAGACAAGGCGUCACAAAAUAGGCUAUUUACUUUACUUAGACAUCAUAAUUCAAAACAAAUACACGGGACGAUAGAAUGCAUGUCAUAGCCUAAUGUGCCAGCGCCAAACAUGUCACUAGGUAGCUCCGAGCAACUCAGUUUCUUCUUAUACUACUCCUAAAAACAAUAAAGUACCCAGUUCGAGCUACACCCUUGGAAAAGAACCGGUGCCCAAAGAAAAACCAAGGGAUACUAUCUAACUAUCCUAAAAAAAAAUCUUUUUGGUAUUUUUAAUCGGACUUUAUCCCUCAAGAAAAUUGUCCAAAAGAUCCAUCGUCGGGAAAAGUCCGAGCUUUUUCUCAUUUUCUUUUUUUUCGGUAUUUUUAUAUUUUUUUUCUUUCUAAAACAAACUAAACUAACACUAGACUCAGUAGAACUAAUAAAAAAACAAAUUAAAAUAUAUUGAUACAAGAUAUACAACUACAUCACAGGUAGUAUUCCUCCCACCCCACACUUGUAUAUGCAUAGUCCUCGAUACAUAUAAAAAUGUAAAACAGAGUAGGAUGAAAAGAAAACUCUAUGUCAGUCGGAGUCCUCCUCCUCAGCAUGCCCUCCAUCAGCAGCUUCGGGCACAUCAUCAUCCGAUCCAAGAGGCACCAAAGCCAGGGGUCCCGUAACAUCAUCAUCAACCUCAUCCUCUGUGUCUGAGUCCUUGACAGUGUUUACGUCCUCCGACGAGUGAACAGGGCUGCCUGGUGCAAUCCCCAACAUCUCCUUGGAUGAACUUGAUAAGUCAUAGCGUAAGUGCAUACGCUCCUUGUCUGUGAUACCAGCCCUGCUCAUGAGUAAAUUCAAAGAGUUAUAGAGGUACCUGUUGAAGUUCUCAUCUCGUUCGUUCCUUGCUGCCUGAGUGAGCUUAGAUGACGUCUCCAACAAUGAUGUGAUGUCCAAUAACCCUAUAGGAGCCUCCACCACCUCAUCAUAUCUUGGAUACUCCGGCACCUCCCGGGAGAGCAUAUAUUGUGUGAGUAAGUUGCCAAAGAAGAACCUCUUAAUCUGCCGCCCAAAUCUCGUGCGGUCCAUCUCACCGAGCAUAAUCUCACCCAAAUUAAUGGGUUUGCCAGUCAUCAAAAAUAAUAUGACACACACUCUAGCUCGAGUGCAGUCACUGGUGUGCUCCACUGGCAUGAGUCUGGGUUGCACAAAAUUCUGCCACACUUUGGUAAUCUUGUUAAAAUCAGAGCGAACCAUGUGAUUGUGAAUCUUGCCUUGCUUCCUGGUUCACUUGGCAUUUGAAUCCAUGCCACAAAGAGUGUGAUGUAUUAAUAUGUAUUUUGGGCUUCUGAAAAAUUUCUGGAGCCUCCUCGGGUCAGCAUUCUCAACCCCUAAAAACUUACAUAAGGCCCUCCUAUCCAAUGGCAUGUCCUUCCCACGUACAUAUGACAUAGAUGAUUUGAAAUCCCAGUUGGCGUACAAUUCCCUAACCAUGCUCAAAUUUGUAUGCCCAGGGCAUUCUAGGAGUUUGUCCAUAUUAAAUGCGAGUAAUCGGCCAAGGAUAUCCGGGAAGUUUCAUUCCAUAGCUUUGGCAUUUAUCCCCAUCUCGGAGACAUAACGCCCAUAUGGCACGAAAUCCCUGUGCCAUGCAAUAGCUGCAUCAGAUACUAGUUUCAACUGAGGCCUUGGUGGUAAUGGAGUCUGCUGUGAUGCCUCAACCACCUGUUUCCCUUUUGCUUGUCGCGAAGAGCCUUCUCCCUGCUUGCGCUUUUUGGGCGCGGGGGCAGCGGUGGAGGACUUUCCUAUUCCCUUGCCUUUGCUAGAACUAUCACGAGCCAUAAUAUCCUACAACACAAAAUAAGCAUGAAUGUGAGAACUCAUCAAGAAAUAUGCCUAAGGUUGUCGCACAAGUCACGAAUGACCCCAAACUUAAAACCGAAGGCACAAUGUACAAUACUUCACAACUUUGAUCUAAAAUGCUCAAGUGUUGCACUCCAAAGAUAUGGGUACUCAAGACUUCCCCAUGUCGUACAAUAGUUAAAAGGCACUAAUCAAUGCCACACACAAGGGAGUGAUCAUGGCUUAGUGAAUUCACCAUAAGGCAAGCAAGAGGCAUAUGUUACUAACCUUUCUACAACUACUACACUACAUGUAAUUAGCUAAAUUUACAAUAUUCGACAACAUACAUUAUAUAAGAUAGAUGGUUAGGAACAUGUUUGCAUUGAAGCCAAGCUCCCUAGCAUGUAAAGUCAUCCCACACAUCCCACACUUAGCCCAAAUUCAUACACAAAUAUACUCGGUUACUCAGACUUCACCGGUACACUAAAAUCUUCAUACAAACAUUUUAACAAACACCUUGUGGGCAUAAAGUGUGUGCAUUCUAGUUCAACAAUUGUGAAAUAUGGUGGCCCUCCCAAAUUUCAACGAAGUAGAGGGAAUUCUAAUUUACUACUUCGUAUACACAAUAACCAAACAAUUUUCUACCAAUGUGAACCACCCACCAUAAAUAUUCAUCCAAAAAAACUAAAUUAUUAUCUACCAAUAAUGUAGAUAAUUUGGGGGAUGGGAUGUACAUUAUUAUCUACCAAUUAGAACACAAAAUUAAGAAGAAGAAGAAGAAGAANANAAAANAGAANANAANAAAGANANNNNNNNNNNNNNNNNNNNNNNNNNNNNNNNNNNNNNNNNNNNNNNNNNNNNNNNNNNNNNNNNNNNNNNNNNNNNNNNNNNNNNNNNNNNNNNNNNNNNNNNNNNNNNNNNNNNNNNNNNNNNNNNNNNNNNNNNNNNNNNNNNNNNNNNNNNNNNNNNNNNNNNNNNNNNNNNNNNNNNNNNNNNNAGAGAGAGAGAGGAGUGCGUUUUCUGAUGUUUCAACUUGGGGUAUUUUGAGUUUAAUUGGGUUAUGGUUUAAGUUGAGUUGGGUAUGGGUAUGGGUAAUAAGAUGGGUUAUAAUGUUAGUGUAGAUGGGUAUAUGGGUUGGGUUUUAUGGGUAUGGGUUACUUAGUAAGCAAAAACGAAAAUAAUAAAUUAAAAAAAAUUAAAAAAAAAUACGUGGACACCCCCUAGCUCAGCGCUCAGCGCUAUGCCUGGUGCUGGGGGGUCUUGCGCAUUCUGCCUGUAGUGCCCCAGGCAGCGCUAGGCGCUGUCCUGGGCGCUAUUUUUGAUAAUAUUUUUUUUUAUAACAUCCUGAUCCCCCGAGCCUUUUAUAUACCCAAUUUACAUGUCCUACACCAUUCUACUUAUAAUUUCUAUGCCUACAAAGAAAAUGCAACUCUACUCUACUCUAACUAAAAAAAUCUAAGAAGCUAAACUAUGAAAGCAAUAAAAAUUGGGUUGCCUCCCAACAAGCGCCUGAUUUAAUGUCGCGGCACGACACAUGACCUCACUUACUCAGUAGCGAGUACAACUUUGGUCUUCUCACGAUCAAUUAUUCAUCCCCAAUAAUGCUUGACUCUUUGUCCAUUCACUAUAAAUUUUGUUUCACCAUUUAAAGCUCGCAACUCAAUUGCACUAUAAGGAGUGACUCUUACCACCUCAAAAGGGCCUGACCAUCUCGAUUUUAACUUCCCAAUAAAUAGCCUAAGUCUAGUAUUGAAAAAUAAUACAUGUUGGCCUGGCUCGAAGUGACGUGGCUUGAUACGUUUGUCAUGCCAUCUUUUAGUCUUCUCUUUAUAUAGCUUAGAAUUUUCUUAAGAGUGCAGCCUGAACCCAUCUAAUUCAUUUAACUACAGGAUUCUUUUCUCACCCGCGGCGUCAAGGUCCAUAUUCAACUUUUUAAUGGCCCAGUAUGCUUUGUGUUCAAGUUCAACAGGCAACUGACAUACCUUUCCAUAAACAAGCUUAUACGGCGCCCCAAUUGGCAUUUUGUAUGCAGUUCUAUAUGCCCACAAGGCAUCAUCUAACUUUGCAGCCCAAUCCUUCCUAUUCACACUCGCCGUCUUUUAUAAAAUUUGCUUUAUUUCUCUGUUCGACACCUCAGCUUGUCCACUCGUUUGAGGAUGAUACGCUGUCACAACUCUAUGGCGGACCCCAUAUUUAGCUAGAAGGUUAUUCAACAAUCAAUUGCAAAAGUGCAUCCCUUCAUCACUUAUCAAUUCAUGUGGAGUCCUAAACCUCGAAAAUAUAUUCUUUUUCACAAAUGCAGCUACCACCAUGGCAUCAUUUGUUGGCAAUGCGAUCACCUCUACCCAUUUUGACACGUAGUCAACUACUAGCAAAAUGUAUUUGUUUCCUCUAGACAAUGGGAAUGGUCCCAUAAAAUCUAUCCCCAUACAUCAAAAAUCUCAACCUCCAGGAUGUUAUUCAAAGGCAUCUCAUGCCUCCUAGUGAUUGUUCCUGUUCUCUGAUAUUGGUCACACUUCUUAACAAAUGCAUGGGCAUCCUUGAAUAAAGUUGGCCAAAAGAAACCGGAUUGUAUUACCUUUGCAGUUGUUCUAUCUCCUCCAUGAUGGCCCCCAUAAGGUGAUGCAUGGCAAUCAUACAAUACUAAUUCUGCCUCCUUUUCUGGAAUGCAUCUCCUCAUCAACUGAUCAGCACAUUGCUUGUACAAAUAAUGGGAGCAGCCACCAACUUCUUUUUGAGUUCUUCAAAUUCUUUAAGGCAGGCGUCAUCAAAAUUGAAAGUUACAUCUUUUUCAAGCAACCUACACAAAGGAGUAGCAAUUUUAGAAAAAUCUUUAAUAAAGCGUCGAUAGAAUCUCGCGUGUCCCAAGAAACUCCGGACACC